AGUUGAUGCUAUAAAUAGAAUAUAUCGGUUGACGAGACUUGUUUUUCAUUGGAUGCACUUUGAUCUCUCGAUCUUUAGUCACGUGUUCAUUUUGGUGGGAUUUUUCUGUUGUUCUUUUGUUCACAAGUCGCCAUACUGGAGGUGAGUGUGAUAUGUUUCCGUUGAAUCAUUUGUCUUGUUUAAAAGUUGUCAUGGAUUUUUAAAUUCUUACACCGGAUGUACGUCCUGGACGAUGUGGUGAAAUGGGAAAUGCCCAGUUGACGGUAUCUCUUCAUUCGAGCAGCGGUCUUUCUGCAGUCAUCGGCAGCACUUCAUUAUGAAGUUGAAGUAAUAAGGACUUGGAGAAGGAAGGGCAAAAUGAAUUGGAACAGCAUGCAAACAACACUGGAAUGGAUUUCUUUGUUCUCUCUUUGCGGAGACUUCAUUGUUGGAGAUGGUAUUACAAAGACUUGGAGGAGGCUGGGCAUAUAGGAUUGGAACUGCAUGCCAACAACGCUGGAGUGGAGGUAUUGCUAAGUCGUUUAGGAAGAGCAGAGGUGAGUUGGUUUCAUUAUCAUUUGUGCACUCUUACUAAUUAGUACUAACAUUUCCCUCCCCUCCCCCACUCUCAACACAUUUUUUGUAGUAGUUCUUUCCUUUUGUUUUUUGUUCUGUUGUUUUUUCUUUGUCUAAUCUUCUCUGUUCUCUCUUUGCCGGGAUGUCAUCGUUGGAGAUGGUGCACUUGGAGGCUGCUGGCUCUUCAUCGUUGGAGGAGGCUGGGCAUAUUGGAUUGGAACAGCAUGCCAACAACGCUGGAACAGAGGUAUUGCUUAGUUGUUAAGGAAAAGCAGAGGUGAGUUGGUUUCAUUAUCAUUUUUGCACUCUUACUAAUUAGUACUAACAUUUCCC
This is a long non-coding RNA of Saccostrea cuccullata (small rock oyster), 888 nucleotides long. RefSeq lists it as uncharacterized. The transcript has 3 exons. The record is from RefSeq and is a predicted model, not a curated record. Lineage: Eukaryota; Metazoa; Mollusca; Bivalvia; Ostreida; Ostreidae.